CACCUUGAAAAUAAAAAAAAACGUACAAGGUUUCCGUAGGUGAACCUGCGGAAGGAUCAUUAC
This 63-nucleotide ribosomal RNA is filed under the name Pythium diclinum. Its description in RNAcentral is "partial 18S ribosomal RNA". The record is from RNAcentral. Lineage: Eukaryota; Oomycota; Peronosporomycetes; Pythiales; Pythiaceae.